This 520-nucleotide ribosomal RNA is filed under the name uncultured bacterium. RNAcentral's name for it is "bacterial SSU rRNA". It matches the Rfam family "Bacterial small subunit ribosomal RNA", at positions 120 to 674 of the family's 1533-position model. The record is from RNAcentral.
GGGAAUCUACCCUGAACUGCGGAAUAGCUCCGGGAAACUGGAAUUAAUACCGCAUGUGCCCUGAGGGGCAAAGAUUUAUCGGUUCAGGAUGAGCCCGCGUCCGAUUAGCUAGUUGGUGGGGUAAAGGCCUACCAAGGCGACGAUCGGUAGCUGGUCUAAGAGGAUGAUCAGCCACAUUGGGACUGAGACACGGCCCAAACUCCUACGGGAGGCAGCAGUGGGGAAUAUUGGACAAUGGGCGCAAGCCUGAUCCAGCCAUGCCGCGUGAGUGAUGAAGGCCCUAGGGUUGUAAAGCUCUUUCAGUGGGGACGAUAAUAACGGUACCCACAGAAGAAGCCCCGGCUAACUUCGUGCCAGCAGCCGCGGUAAUACGAAGGGGGCUAGCGUUGUUCGGAAUUACUGGGCGUAAAGCGCACGUAGGCGGACAUUUAAGUCAGGGGUGAAAUCCCGGGGCUCAACCCCGGAACUGCCUUUGAUACUGGGUGUCUUGAGUUCGGAAGAGGUGAGUGGAAUUGCGAGU